UGCUCACUUUGGCAAUAAUAUACUAAAAUUGGAAUGAUAUAGAGAAGAUUAGCAAGGUCCCUGCACAAGGAUGGCACACAAAUUUGUGAAGUGUUCCAUAUUUUU
Molecule: small nuclear RNA, 105 nt
Organism: Suncus etruscus (white-toothed pygmy shrew)
Lineage: Eukaryota; Metazoa; Chordata; Mammalia; Eulipotyphla; Soricidae
Source: RefSeq, a predicted model, not a curated record